GAUGAACGCUGGCGGCGUGCCUAAUACAUGCAAGUCGAGCGAACAGACGAGGAGCUUGCUCCUCUGACGUUAGCGGCGGACGGGUGAGUAACACGUGGAUAACCUACCUAUAAGACUGGGAUAACUUCGGGAAACCGGAGCUAAUACCGGAUAAUAUAUUGAACCGCAUGGUGCAAUAGUGAAAGACGGUUUUGCUGUCACUUAUAGAUGGAUCCGCGCCGCAUUAGCUAGUUGGUAAGGUAACGGCUUACCAAGGCAACGAUGCGUAGCCGACCUGAUGGGGUGAUCGGCCCCACUGGAGCUGAGACGCGGUCCAGACUCCGACGGGAGGCAGCAGCAGGGAAUCUUCCGCAAUGGGCGAAAGCCUGACGGAGCAACGCCGCGUGAGUGAUGAAGGUCUUCGGAUCGUAAAACUCUGUUAUUAGGGAAGAACAAAUGUGUAAGUAACUAUGCACGUCUUGACGGUACCUAAUCAGAAAGCCACGGCUAACUACGU
RNAcentral lists this ribosomal RNA (496 nucleotides) under uncultured bacterium. RNAcentral's name for it is "partial 16S ribosomal RNA". It matches the Rfam family "Bacterial small subunit ribosomal RNA", at positions 28 to 506 of the family's 1533-position model. The record is from RNAcentral.